Molecule: long non-coding RNA, 403 nt
Filed under: Equus asinus (donkey)
Lineage: Eukaryota; Metazoa; Chordata; Mammalia; Perissodactyla; Equidae
Description: lncRNA (ENSEASG00005024616.1)
Source: RNAcentral
CUCAGGCAAAUUAUUAGACAUUUCCUUGAGGAGAGGGACUUAGCCUUAUUUAUUUCUGUAUCCUCAAUGUCAGCCGUACUGCUGGUUGGAGGGAUGGAUGCAUAAAUGCUUGUUUGGAUACCUGGGUGAAUGAGGAGCCAAGAGGAAGUAAAGAUCUGAACUCAGGGUUAGUGAGUCAGGACCUGGACCAAAAUGCCUCUAAGCCUUUGACAGAGUCAAGGAAAGGGGAGAGAUGUGAGAUGUGCUGAGGGUUGAAGAGAACGUUUAUAAAGUUCCUGCGGUACAUCCUCCCCAAAAGAUAACAGAGUUCAGAACUGUGGAUCAAGUGCCAAGUACUCCAUGUGCUGAGAAAGAAGAAGAGUAAGUCCUUAGAUUGAUAGAGUGUGGCUGGAUCCAGAUGAGC